UAGCUUAGAUGGUAAAGAAUCUGCCUGCAAUGCAGGAGACCCAGGUUCAGUCCCUGG
RNAcentral lists this transfer RNA (57 nucleotides) under Capra hircus (goat). It matches the Rfam family "tRNA", at positions 8 to 63 of the family's 71-position model. Rfam says of the family: Transfer RNA (tRNA) molecules are approximately 80 nucleotides in length. Their secondary structure includes four short double-helical elements and three loops (D, anti-codon, and T loops). The record is from Rfam by way of RNAcentral. RNAcentral also lists the same sequence under 1 other name. Lineage: Eukaryota; Metazoa; Chordata; Mammalia; Artiodactyla; Bovidae.